Molecule: long non-coding RNA, 1058 nt
Filed under: Calidris pygmaea (Spoon-billed sandpiper)
Lineage: Eukaryota; Metazoa; Chordata; Aves; Charadriiformes; Scolopacidae
Description: lncRNA (ENSCPGG00000015292.1)
Source: RNAcentral
UCAAAUCUUGCCUUGCAGAUAUCCUUGCAGCAGUAGGACCACCAGUCUGCCUCUUCUCAGAUCCCAGCAGACAGAAACUGUCUUCCGAAGGAAACCAGAACCAGACUGUAAAGCCCUGAUCUUCUAGGUCUCAAAAGGGAUGGCAGGAGCUUUGCAGUUCACCUGUUGGAUGAGUGUACCUCGUACAAGUGUACCCGUUAGACUACCAGGAAAUGAAGAUGAGAAAUUUCCAAGAAAUCUGCUGUCCUACACAUCAGCCACAGGUUGCACGGGACAGCUGAAGGCCCUGUGAUUCAGGUUGGAGUCAGCAUGAAUCUGCUGCCCUGUGAAUGCCAGGAGCUGAGCCACAAUCCUACUACGCUGCACAACCAACAGAAAGUCAUUGGGACAAUGUGUGACAUGAGCAGUUUCUUGAUUUCGUUCAUUCUAGCAUUGGGCUCAUUCGCUCUCAAGACUGCACGAGCUGCUGAGCAACUACUGUCCUUGUCCUUGGGAGGCCAAGCUCAACGGCAUGAGGUACAUGGCUCCAGCCCAGUUUCCAGUGUCAUUCAUCUGCAGUGACAGAUGUAUGCUGCCUUCCUUGCUACCUUCAUAUCUUCAAGCAUGAAGAAAGAAACCCUCCACCUUCCAGUGUUCUCCAUCCAUUUGGCACCCUCAUGACAAAAGCCUGCCAGCUAUAACACAAUAUACCAGGAACUCUGCGAUGAAAAUCCCCAGUCGUUACUUGAGUCCAUGCCUUUUUCUCUCCUACCCAAUCUGCUUUUCCUAAAAUUCCUCCUGUCGUGGCUUCAUAUGGGGCCACGCUCCCACUCUACACAGCAUCACAGAAUCGUCAUGGUUGGAAAGGACCUCUGAGAUCACCAAGUCCAACCACACACACACAAAACACACAACCCAACAAUCCCGGGCACUAGAGCAUGCCCUGAAGUGCCACGUCUACACACGUUUCUUAAAUCCCUCCAGGGAUGGUGACUCCACCACCUCCCUGGGCAGGCCGUUCCAGUGCCUGACCACCCUCUCAGGAAAGUCAUUCUUCCCAAUAUCUAAUCUAAACCUCC